AUCUGUCCCUAGUACGAGAGGACCGGGAUGGACAUACCUCUGGUGGACCUGUCGUGGCGCCAGCCGCGCAGCAGGGUAGCUAAGUAUGGAAUAGAUAACCGCUGAAAGCAUCUAAGCGGGAAACUAACCUCAAAACAAGGUUUCGCCGAGAGCCGUGGUAGACCACCACGUUGAUAGGCCAGGUGUGGAAGUGCCGCGAGGCAUGCAGCUUACUGGUACUAAUCGCUCGAUCGGCUUGAUCGU
RNAcentral lists this ribosomal RNA (243 nucleotides) under Phenylobacterium sp. RNAcentral describes it as "partial 23S ribosomal RNA". It matches the Rfam family "Bacterial large subunit ribosomal RNA", at positions 2670 to 2925 of the family's 2925-position model. The record is from RNAcentral. Lineage: Bacteria; Pseudomonadati; Pseudomonadota; Alphaproteobacteria; Caulobacterales; Caulobacteraceae.